GAGUUUGAUCCUGGCUCAGAGCGAACGCUGGCGGCAGGCCUAACACAUGCAAGUCGAACGAACUCUUCGGAGUUAGUGGCGGACGGGUGAGUAACACGUGGGAACGUGCCUUUUGGUUCGGAAUAACUCAGGGAAACUUGUGCUAAUACCGAAUGUGCCCUUCGGGGGAAAGAUUUAUCGCCAUUAGAGCGGCCCGCGUCUGAUUAGCUAGUUGGUGAGGUAAAGGCUCACCAAGGCGACGAUCAGUAACUGGUCUGAGAGGAUGAUCAGCCACAUUGGGACUGAGACACGGCCCAAACUCCUACGGAGGCAGCAGUGGGGAAUCUUGCGCAAUGGGCGAAAGCCUGACGCAGCCAUGCCGCGUGAAUGAUGAAAGGUCUUAGGAUUGUAAAAAUUCUUUCACCGGGACGAUAAAUGACGGUACCCGGAGAAGAAGACCCCGGCUAAACUUCGUGCCAGCCGGCC
RNAcentral lists this ribosomal RNA (465 nucleotides) under uncultured microorganism. Its description in RNAcentral is "bacterial SSU rRNA". It matches the Rfam family "Bacterial small subunit ribosomal RNA", at positions 9 to 516 of the family's 1533-position model. The record is from RNAcentral.